This 345-nucleotide unclassified non-coding RNA is filed under the name soil metagenome. Its description in RNAcentral is "partial contains 5.8S ribosomal RNA, internal transcribed spacer 2, and large subunit ribosomal RNA". The stretch from base 1 to 120 matches the Rfam family "5.8S ribosomal RNA", at positions 35 to 154 of the family's 154-position model. The record is from RNAcentral.
GAUGAAGAACGCAGCGAAAUGCGAUACGUAAUGUGAAUUUCAGAAUUCAGUGAAUCAUCGAGUCUUUGAACGCACAUUGCGCCCCCUGGUAUUCCGGGGGGCAUGCCUGUCCGAGCGUCAUUGCUGCCCUCAAGCACGGCUUGUGUGUUGGGCCUCCGUCCUCCUCCCGGGGGACGGGCCCGAAAGGCAGCGGCGGCACCGCGUCCGGUCCUCGAGCGUAUGGGGCUUCGUCACCCGCUCUUGUAGGCCCGGCCGGCGCUUGCCGACACAUCAAUCUUUUUUCCAGGUUGACCUCGGAUCAGGUAGGGAUACCCGCUGAACUUAAGCAUAUCAAUAAGCGGAGGA